UCCACAGUUCGGAGGGCCACCGCAGAGCACAGAGCUGGGACAUGGAGUGGUUUCUGAUCGUUGGCGUUUGCGUGACGUUCGUCGUUUCCAGUGGAGCUCAGAACACCACAAGUGUGACCCCCAGUUCCUCCUACCUUAUUUCAGGGCCCCAGGUGCUGCACCCUGGACUCCCCACCUCCCUGUCCGUCACUGUUCUCAUUGACAUGCCUGUCAAUGUCACUGCAGAGAUCAUCAGCGACAACUCCAGCCUGGUCAGGACAAGGGGAACUUUCCAAGGAGGUCUGACUGGACUACUGAUUCUCCCA
Megalops cyprinoides (Indo-Pacific tarpon) is the source of this 305-nucleotide long non-coding RNA. RefSeq lists it as uncharacterized. The record is from RefSeq and is a predicted model, not a curated record. The transcript is spliced from 3 exons. NCBI's taxonomy places the organism in Eukaryota, Metazoa, Chordata, Actinopteri, Elopiformes, Megalopidae.